Long non-coding RNA from Anolis carolinensis (green anole), 1194 nucleotides. RefSeq lists it as uncharacterized. Lineage: Eukaryota; Metazoa; Chordata; Lepidosauria; Squamata; Anolidae. The record is from RefSeq and is a predicted model, not a curated record. The transcript has 2 exons.
GGGAAUUAUUUUUAUUUAUUUAUUUACUUACUUAUUUAUUAGUCUUGUAUACCGCUACUCCCAGUUUGGCUCGGAGUGGUUUACAGAAAUAGAUUAAAACAAUACAAUAAAACAAUAAAACGGAAACCCCCUCUAUUUACACCCCACUUGAGUUUCCACUUGAGCAGCCCCAGUGAGGCCCACACCCCCAAGGCCAGGGUGAUGCACCAUGACAACGACUGUGAUGCGCCAAAGGUUCUGUGACAGUUGAGGCUGUCAGUUGUGACAGGGAGGAGGAGGAGGAGACCCAGUCCUGGGGCCAAAGGGGCCGGAAAGGAGUCAUAAGGGGCUUCCCAUGCCCGGAAAAAGAAAUGGAGAAUGAUUUCCCAUCACCAGGUAAGAGACGGAGGGGAGGAAGGAAGGAGACCCAGGUAAGGGAUGGAGAGGAAGUAUAUUCAAUCAUAAGGUAGGAGAAGAGGAAGGCCACACAAUGACCAGGUAAGGAAGGAAGAGGAAACAUACCCAAUAAUCAGGUAGGUGAUGAAGAGGAAGGACACACAAUCCUCAGGUAAGAGAAGAGGAAGGCAAACACAUGAUCAGGUAAGAGAAGAGGAAGGCUACAAAAUUAUCAGGUAAGCGAAGAAGAGGAAUUGUGCUCUCUUAUCAUGAAAGUGAUGAAGAAGUAUAUUCAAUCAUAAGGUAAGAGAAGAGGAAGAAUACACAAUCAUCAGGCAAGGAAUGAAGAGGAAAAACACCCAAUAAUCAGGUAGGUGAUGAAGAGGAAAAAUACACAAUUAUCAGGUAAGUGAUGAAGAGGAAGAAUACACAAUUGUCAGGUAAGCGAUGAAGAGGAAGUAUAUUCAAUGAUCAGGUAAGAGAAAAGGAAGGCCACAAAAUGAUCAGGUAAGGGAUGAAGAGGAGAAAUACCUAAUACUCAGGUAGGUGAUGAAGAGGAAGGACACACAAUCCUCAGGUAAGAGAAGAGGAAGGCAAACACAUUACCAGGUAAGAGAAGAGGAAGGCUACAAAAUCUUCACGCAAGGAAUGAAGAAGAAACAUACCUAAUCAUCAGGUAAGGGAUGAAGAGGAAGGACACCCAACUCUCAGGUAAGGGAAGAGGCAUUUUUCAAUCCCCAGGUAUUUCUAAUCCCCAGAAGCAUCCAAGGAAGUGGAUCUGCAUGAAGAGAAAUCAAGUAGGAAGGAAGAAGUAAAACA